ACUGAGAUACGGCCCAGACUCCUACGGGAGGCAGCAGUAGGGAAUUUUCCACAAUGGGCGAAAGCCUGAUGGAGCAACACAGCGUGUAGGAUGAAGGCCU
This 100-nucleotide ribosomal RNA is filed under the name Mycoplasmopsis synoviae. RNAcentral describes it as "Mycoplasma synoviae partial 16S ribosomal RNA". It matches the Rfam family "Bacterial small subunit ribosomal RNA", at positions 318 to 417 of the family's 1533-position model. Lineage: Bacteria; Bacillati; Mycoplasmatota; Mycoplasmoidales; Metamycoplasmataceae. The record is from RNAcentral.